Molecule: small RNA, 334 nt
Filed under: Histoplasma capsulatum
Lineage: Eukaryota; Fungi; Ascomycota; Eurotiomycetes; Onygenales; Ajellomycetaceae
Also listed under: 1 other name
Description: hypothetical RNA
Source: RNAcentral
ACUAAUUAUCACUGCUACUACUAUUAUUUGUUAUUAUUAUUCUAUUACUAUACACUAUAUACUAUCUUCUACUAUUCACUCUUCACACUGUUAUCACCUCUCACAUCAAUAAUCUUCAAUUACUGAAGAUCUAUGUACUUUUAUAUAGAUAAUCUGUUCAAGAAAUGUCUUGAUUUCUGCAGAAGUAGUUGACUGUCAAUUUCAAGAAUUGAUAACUGAAAAGAGUUGUCAUUACUCCCACAAAACCACACCUGCUAUUUCAAAUAUCACUGGUCCGCCACCACCACCACUAAAUUCGAAUCGCAGCAAAGAGAUUGCUUCAUACUCUUCACAU